Molecule: long non-coding RNA, 1581 nt
Organism: Hevea brasiliensis (rubber tree)
Lineage: Eukaryota; Viridiplantae; Streptophyta; Magnoliopsida; Malpighiales; Euphorbiaceae
Exons: 6
Source: RefSeq, a predicted model, not a curated record
UACCGCUUUGGUUGGUGAAAGUGCCUCUUUCCUGAGGAUCUGCUGUCUGCUUUCAGCCUCAGUUGGUGCUUUCCCUUCCAUUUACUCUUCCUCUGUUUACAAUUCCUCUCCUGCUUUCUCCAGAUCCCUCUUCACCACCACAGCCCAGUUAACGCAAUCAAAACUACCAUUCUAAUCGAACUCUGGGUCGCCAUUAAUUUUUUCGAUAACCCAUUUCAUCUCUCUCUCUCUCUCUCUCUCUCUCUCUCUCUCUAGACUGUUGAAUCAUCUAUUACCCAACAGCCAAAGAUGAUGCAGCAGCAAGGCAGCUCCGCCGAUUUGGCCCAGCUCCAGUCCAUCAUGCAGGCCAUCUCGCUUGCUCUUCCUUCCAGCCGCUCUGGCAACUAUCCUGUCGCUAAAUCAGUCGCCUCAGCCGUACAACGCAUGCCAGUUCAUUCUUGAAUUCUCAAGUAGCAAAUGCGAGGUUUCCAGCGGCUUCAGCAAUUCGAGAUGCUGUUAUGAAGGAAUGGUGCAGGUGAUGACAAGAAAUGCUUGACAAGAUAUUCUGCUGCUGGGCGCGGGAUGCUGCUGUAGGUGUCACAAAGAGUAUAACUGAACCUGAUACUGAGCCUGUGGUAACGGUUUACACUGCUGCAUUGUGUCUCAUGUUUCAAAUCUUGAACUGGGAUUUCCGGUACAAUACUUCUGGCAAAAAAGUGGUGUAGAUGUUUUUUCACUUGAGGUUAGAGCAGACAGUUCUUCAACUCGUGGUAAAAGAGGUCUGAGUGUACAUUGGUGCCGUACCUUUGGCACUCUUACCCUAUUAUCCACCUUGAUGUGCGAAGUUAUCAAACUGAUGAGGAGACAUGGAGCUGGGAGGCGCAUGAUAUCUUAUUAGAUACCUCGACCACUCUACUCAUGUUUUUAUUCAUUGACCCCAGAAAAAAAAUUUUUGGAUCUGCCACUGACUUCAGCCAAUGAAUGGUACCGGCGGGAAGGCGAUACUUUCACCUGAAGGGAUAAGUGCUGCAAGCCAAUCUUUUUUCCUUAAUUGCAGAGUAUGAGCUAAGAGGUAAUAAUCUGCAUAAAUAUAAUAAAAUGAGCAUAUAUUGAGGCUUACCUGCUGGAAUUGAGGACAGCAGAUGGAGUGAUGUAGGUUUGGACUGAUUGCUGGAGAUGAAAGGGCAUUGGGAAAUAUGAAGUUUUGGCUGUUGCCAUUGCUGUGGUGUAUGUGAAUUGAGAGGCUGAAGGACUUGUAGAUUUUGAUUCAGGACUAGUCAUUUCCUUCUAUGGAACCAAUAGGAUUUGCAGUUAGGGUGGCUCUACUAUAACUUGGAUUGGGAGGCGAGACAAUGUAAAAUUGGAAAUUUGCUUCCUUCUCACUGUCUUGGCAUGGUGAGAGUUCCAGAGCUUUCCUUGGUAGAUACGAAUUGGAUAUAUUAUUCUCGACUCUGUUGGAUAUAAAUUGAAUAUAUUAUCAGCCAAAUUACUCAGCUUUAGUUGCAUUCCAAUUUCAAUUUCAAUGAAAUCACUAUUGUUAUAUUAUGUUGAAUUUUAGCCUUGUUUUAAAGUAUAAUAAUAUCUAGUUCUACAAUUUAAAUA